Long non-coding RNA from Salvia splendens (bonfire salvia), 3179 nucleotides. RefSeq lists it as uncharacterized. The record is from RefSeq and is a predicted model, not a curated record. The transcript has 4 exons. NCBI's taxonomy places the organism in Eukaryota, Viridiplantae, Streptophyta, Magnoliopsida, Lamiales, Lamiaceae.
UACCAUAUUAGAAAUGAGCCACUCACCCCUUAAAAGGCCUCAUAAGGGGGAGGGUUAUCCACACUUAUAUAGAUUAGAUGAGAUCUUCACCAAGUCGAUGUGGGACGGAAUUUAGAGAAUUUAACAGCGAGCUUUCUGGAAUCUCUGGUACUUUCCCUCUCUAGCAUCCAUCACCGGUAGCGGCAUCAUAAGCCUUGAUAGUGUUGGUGAUCGUUUUUUGUUUAUUAAUUUUAUAUUUUCUGUGCUCUUAAAUUAUGGAAAUAGUUGUGAUAAUUUUAGAAAUGUUGUUCUUCAUUCGUAGCUGCAUCAUAAGCCUUGAUAGUGUUGGUAAGUUUGUUGUUUAGCAGUUAUAAAAAUCUCAAUUUUUUGAGAUAUGGUGUUUCUCUCAUAAACUUUGGAAAGAAUUCUGAUGCUUUUCAGAAGUUCUGCUCUUCAUUUGUAGCUGUGUCAUAUCCUAAAAUUCUAUAUUGUGCCUUAAGCUAAUCUUAUUUGUACCUUAAGAUUGUGACAUCAUGUUUACUUCUCAGUGACUUUCAUGUUGCUCCUACUUUCGUUGUCCUCAUGUUGCUCUUACUUUCGCAGUCCUCGUGUUGCUUUCAGUUCUUCUAUCUUUCGGCAUUUGUGAGAUUGGAUGAUUACAAAGCUUAAUUAAGUUCAAGGCAUCGAUCCAUCUUACCUGAUAUAUAUUCAGCCUCAGGGACCUUGUUUUAUUUGUUCCAAAAGUUUAGUUAAUCAAAAUUCAAGUUCGAACUAUAGUUUGGUUUAAAAGAAAGUUGUGUUGGAUUGGUUUAUUUGUAUGAAACUUCAGAUUCUUUGAAGCAAAUAUGUGUGAUAUUUUUAAUUUAACCCCCCAUAUCUGAGCCAUUGCUUGAAUCAUCAAAAUCAUAUUCAUUGUCUUCUUCAUUUCCAGUAGGUGGUUCAUAUUCAUCAAAAUCAUAUUCACUUUGCUGGUUUGGCUGGUAUUGUUGUCAAUUGUUAUGUUGUUUCUAUUUUUCAUGAAUUUGUUUUUUGUUUGCUUGGACCAUAACUUGAGUGGGUCUGUGCCUAUGUCCUAGGCUCUAUAAAUGUCCCAAUUAGUUCAAGUUGCAAGUUUAACUAUUUAAGUAGUUGUUUUGUCAAUUGCUUCUCCUCAAAUGGAAACCAUUUAUACAAGCUAGCAAAUCAAGCCAACUAUAUUGUUAAAUCAGAUAGUAGCUAAUGAAAUAACUUUUCUGCUGAAACAACAUGAUGAUCAAUAUCAUGUACAGCGCAGGGUCAAGUGAAGCUGAAGGUACUGUCUGGUGGCAAAUAUGUAUCAGUAAACAUAGUUACCUUGUGACAGUUAUUACUUAUUUAAGAUUGUGAAGUUUUAUGUGGAAAUUUAGCAAGAAAACGAAAGCUCAUUAGAUUAUAGUUAGUUGAGGUUUUGUAACAUUUAAAUAAUUUUGGUGCUGACCGAUCUUAUGGAGCCUGCUGCUGGUAGAGGCUUGCAACUCAAGAGGGCUUCUUUUAGACAUGUUUACAUUGCUUCCCAAAUCUAACAAGUGAAUUUUGGUUGAAAUAUUUCAGGGAUUUUUCCUUCAACAAUCUCAGUGGACUUGUGCCCACUUUUCCCCACAAAAUCAUUUAAGGAAAUCCUCAAAUUUGUUGAAGCCACUCUUCUGAAAAAUAUUCUGGACCAAAUCUUGUUAGCCCCCCUUGCAUUUUCAAGAACUCAAUCUUCAGGAGCAUUUUUCAUGGCCUUCUGACUGGGAGCAUGAGGUGAAGAAGAUGUGGCAUGAAAAAGCUGCAAGAAGAUACUCGGGUUUUAUCAGUUCCUUGAAGGUGAUGUACAAAGCCGGUAAAUCCCGGCCAAUUUAUGUACCUCUAGAAUCGUGGACUGGACUGAUAAACCAUUGGAAAGAUCAAAAUGUCAUCAACAGGUCUGAAGCUGCAAAGAGGGCAAGAUUGUCCGAACCUGAUGGACUAGGCACAGGAAUAAGCAUACAACGAGGAAUAAGCAUACUACGAUCUGCUAGCAUAAGAAGUUUUAGAAUUUAAACUGCAAGUUAACUAAGUGGGACAUGGAUGAUGAAUAGCAUAUAGUUAAUGGUGCAAUAGUAUCUAGUGACUCUAGUAAAGAUCACUAGAUACUUCUUCCCAUAAUACAUAAAAUGUCAUAAAUAAAUUCCAGUGACUCUUCAUGUAGUAGCAGACUAAAACGUGACAAACUGACAAAAUAAAACAUGCUCAGUACUGAUUUCAUGGACACGUUGUGUCUACUGUCUAGAAUGAUGGUUAUUGCAUAAUGAGAAGAAGAAACUUACAUUGCCUCUUGGUGAUUAGACUGAUCUCCAGACACUUCAAUCGUGCUUUUACUCAAACAAAAGAAUCAGCAGUGAUUUUUAUGAAUUGUUAAUAGCUAACUUUUGAUAUUUUGAUAAAUAGGCUGCCGAGAGGGGAGUAUCGAUCAUGGAUUGUGUGUAUGAAUCGUUCAGUGACAUACACACAGGUUCAAGGAUGACCGGUGUACAUACAAGAGAGCUGCAGACGUUGAUGCAAGAGUGCAAGAGAUUGCUGCAAUGCAGGGUGAGAACGCAAAUCUGAGCCAGAUCUUUAUCAAUGACGUUUUUGGAGGUAAGCUCGAUAAAAAGAAAAGGAUGUUUGGAACUGGGAAUCUGGCAAAAAGCCUUGUGGGUGGACGAACUCCGGGAUUGAAUGCUCAUGCCCCGACCGGCUUAGAUCCUUCUGUGCGAGCUAAGAUAAGAGAGGCAUUGCGCGCAGAAUUGCACGAAGAAUUGCGGGAAGAAUUUAAGGGAAUAAAUGCGCCAGGAGCUCAAUGCUGAUCGUUAGCAAAGAACAAAGUUGGAAAAUGAUGUUGCGAUGAUGCAAGAGAUGACGAGGCUGUUCAUGACGACAGCCCGCCAGUCCAGCCACGCUUCUGACAGUUCUGUAGGGAUAUGACCCAUGUAUCACAACUUUAUACGAUGUCUUUUGUUGCUUGUUUUGUAGGGAUAUGACAUCAUACAUUUCAUACUUUUGUUGCUUGUUUUAAGGGUGUCCACAAUGGUGGCCUUCAAAGGCCACCAUUUGUGGCCCGGUCACCAAUUGUGGCUCCCAUGUGGCCUUUGUAAUGACAAAUGUAAAAAACACAAUGCAAAUUCAAAGGGCCACCAAAUGUGGCCCUCUAAAAUGUUAAUUUUUUUUUUGCUUUUUUUUAA